AAAUGUAAGGUUUUUUUUAAACUAUAUUAAUAGAAAUAUUAACAAUUAAUGCUAUGUUAGAAGUUAGAAGU
Molecule: transfer RNA, 71 nt
Filed under: Scarelus crudus
Lineage: Eukaryota; Metazoa; Arthropoda; Insecta; Coleoptera; Lycidae
Description: tRNA-Glu
Source: RNAcentral